UGUGGGAGCGGGCUUGCUCGCGAUUAAGGCGACGCGAUUUUCACAGAGAUCGAGUUGCUGUCAUCGCGAGCAAGCCCGCUCCCACA
Molecule: unclassified non-coding RNA, 86 nt
Filed under: Pseudomonas psychrophila
Lineage: Bacteria; Pseudomonadati; Pseudomonadota; Gammaproteobacteria; Pseudomonadales; Pseudomonadaceae
Source: RNAcentral